AACGAACGCUGGCGGCAUGCCUAACACAUGCAAGUCGAACGAGACCUUCGGGUCUAGUGGCGCACGGGUGCGUAACGCGUGGGAACCUGCCCUUAGGUUCGGAAUAACUCCCCGAAAGGGGUGCUAAUACCGGAUAAUGUCUUCGGACCAAAGAUUUAUCGCCUUUGGAUGGGCCCGCGUUGGAUUAGCUAGUUGGUAGGGUAAAAGCCUACCAAGGCGACGAUCCAUAGCUGGUCUGAGAGGAUGAUCAGCCACACUGGGACUGGGACACGGCCCAGACGCAGAGGGGAGGAAGGAGGGGGAAAUAUCGGGAAGUGGGAAGAAGAGUGCAAGAGAGAUGGGGCGUGAGGAAUGAAGGGAUGAGGGUUGAAAAGCUUGUAUCGCAGGGAGAAGAAGGAGAGUACGGGGAGAAGAAGCCCAGGCUAAGUCCGUGCAAAAAGGCGGGGAAAUAAGAGAAGAGAAAACGGCGAAAC
Molecule: ribosomal RNA, 473 nt
Filed under: uncultured bacterium
Lineage: Bacteria
Description: partial 16S ribosomal RNA
Rfam family: Bacterial small subunit ribosomal RNA (bases 20-302)
Source: RNAcentral